Triticum dicoccoides is the source of this 439-nucleotide long non-coding RNA. RefSeq lists it as uncharacterized. The record is from RefSeq and is a predicted model, not a curated record. The transcript is spliced from 2 exons. Lineage: Eukaryota; Viridiplantae; Streptophyta; Magnoliopsida; Poales; Poaceae.
CGUCACCAGCCCCAGCUCCCUGUCAGUUAUGUGCACGUAAAAAAAUGACUUUUGCCACUUGAUGCUUAUACUGACACCGGCAAUGAGAUGAUUCACCGCCUGCAAGAAUUAGGGGCUGACAAAAUGAGAAAAACAGGUUCUCAAAUCUUGCACAGUACGCCCACGGUCCUGAUCCGAGAUCACAAUGUCAGUUUUUGUUCAGUAUGACCACGGUACAGAUCAGAGAUCAAGAGUUGUAAAAGUUAGCAGUAGAAAUUGAAAAGGUUAGAAUACAUAAACGCCCGACCUGAAAUUGCAACCGCCGGUCCAGAUAGUGUCCGGCGGCGAUUGGAUCCGCUGACCAGCGACGGAUCCGCUGAACAAAUAUCUUUGCACUCGGACGGCGGCGUCGCCGGUUUUAACAGGCCGUGAAGGAGGUCUACGGUUUCAGCGCUCGUGA